GCCUUUGUGGUGUAGUGGUUAGCACGUUCGGCGCGUAUUCGAGGGGUCCGUGGUUCGAGUCCCAGUGAGGGCA
RNAcentral lists this transfer RNA (73 nucleotides) under Stegodyphus mimosarum. It matches the Rfam family "tRNA". Rfam says of the family: Transfer RNA (tRNA) molecules are approximately 80 nucleotides in length. Their secondary structure includes four short double-helical elements and three loops (D, anti-codon, and T loops). Further hydrogen bonds mediate the characteristic L-shaped molecular structure. tRNAs have two regions of fundamental functional importance: the anti-codon, which is responsible for specific mRNA codon recognition, and the 3' end, to which the tRNAs corresponding amino acid is attached (by aminoacyl-tRNA synthetases). tRNAs cope with the degeneracy of the genetic code in two manners: having more than one tRNA (with a specific anti-codon) for a particular amino acid; and 'wobble' base-pairing, i.e. permitting non-standard base-pairing at the 3rd anti-codon position. Lineage: Eukaryota; Metazoa; Arthropoda; Arachnida; Araneae; Eresidae. The record is from Rfam by way of RNAcentral.